RNAcentral lists this long non-coding RNA (4713 nucleotides) under Brassica napus (rape). Its description in RNAcentral is "long non-coding RNA (BNAP_LNC000327)". The record is from RNAcentral. Lineage: Eukaryota; Viridiplantae; Streptophyta; Magnoliopsida; Brassicales; Brassicaceae.
ACGAUUCUAGAUCAUCCGUAUCUUCCUCAAUCCAAUCAGAUCCAUCUUCCUCCGCCGAAUUCAAAUCCAGCAAGGCCAUUGUCAGAUCCAAACCUUCCUACUUAACCAAAACAGCUAAACACGAUGCUAAUCCUGGGAACCUCACUUGUAUGAUGAAGAAGCUCAUGGACAUGAAGAAAUCUAAUCCCAAGGGCAAAAGGGUCGAGCUUGUGAUUCCCCAUGAACUCAAGAAGCUUGAUACUGUUCGAGGAGGAGGGAAGAGUGCAUUGGGAACACUGCAGAGGAAGCUGUUCGGGAAGGAGAAGGAAAAGGUGAAGGCUUUGACAGAGGUUAAAGGGAACACGAGGACUCUCUCUAUGGUUCUGAGAAGCGAGAGGGAGCUCCUGAGCAUGAACAAGGACCAGGAGAUUGAAAUCUCUGAGCUUAAGUUUCAGCUUGAAGAGAAGAACCGAGAAGUAAUUGCUUCAUUCAUUCACUCCUCUCUUUAAAAGCUCGAUUUAGCUGUUUAGGGGUUUUGCUUCAGAUAGGUUCAUGAAGAGGAGAUUAGUAUUAAUGGGUUUUGGAUAAAGUUGAUAUUUUUGUUUGUUGUGCAGGUGGAGAAGUUGAAGGAUCUCUGUCUGAAGCAAAGGGAGGAGAUAAAGUCGCUGAAAAGCGCGCUUCUGUUUCCAGAUGGGAUGAACAGCGAAAUGCAGGAGCUGAAUGAGGCGAGGCAGAUCAUCCCUAACCUUCAGAAGCAGGUUCUUUCACUCAAUGGACAGCUCCAAUGCAUUGCUCAAGACCUUGCCGAGGUACUUUUGCUUCUUCUUUUUGUUUUUGUUUACCUGAAUAGUGGAUAACAUGUGAUGUAGAGGGAGUCUUGUGUUAGUGAGCUACCUUAGUUGGUUUGUAGUGGAUUUAAGCCUUGUGCGGACACUUGACAUUUCAUAAACUAUAAGUCGAGUCAGUUAUAGCCAAAGAGCUAAUUUAGCAUAAAUGGAAGUUCAGGCACAAGAGGGCUCUGGUCUAGUACAUUGGGAUUUAGAUUUGAGACAUCUCCAGUAAUUACUAUCUCGGUUGUUCAAUAGUUUCUGUUUCCAUUUUGAUCAUCCAUUCUUCUUGUAAAGGUUGAUUUAAUCAAGGAGGAUUAAUAAAAGAUAAUUAAUACUUUUUAUGAAUCUAUCAUGUAGCUUAUGGGACUUGAAUCUUGAGUAUAAUGAAUGGUUCACUCUUGGGAAGUUUAUUCAGGGCAUUGCUGCAGCAACAGUUCAUCACUAUAUAUAGCUUUUAGUAGUAUUGUCUGAUAAUAAACACAAUUGGGUUCUUUCUUAUCAGGUGAAGGCGAACAAGUACAUAUCAGAAAGCUGUUACUGGCAAGCACAGACUUCUUCCUAUGAUUCACUGGUAAGCAAAAUAGGAUCAAAAGUAGGGAACUUUGAAGAGUCUUAGUUUGGAAACCAACAAACAUUACUGGCAGGGUCUUAUUAUUUUUGAAUGCAUUAUAUCAGGAAUUCAGCUCAGGCAGCCCUGAUAGAUUGGCUCUGGAAGAUCUGAAUCCGUGCUUAACCCCUUAUGCCAAGAUAAAGCCCAAGGUACUUGCUUUUUAACCUUGACAGGCAAAAAGGUCACCUUGUUGGCCAUUGGCUCACAAGGUAGACGCGGCUUAAAACCUUUUAUAUGUCUUUGCACAGGAGUUUGCGAGGGUGGAUUCAGCAGAAGAGAGCUUAUCGGGGAGAAGUACUGUAACAAAUACAGGAGGUAAAGGCAAAUCUAGUUCAAAAAGUGUGAAGAUGUCAAGGAGCUCAGAGGGAAAGGCAGGACAUAGAUCAGAAGAGAGCACAGGAUGGCAUAGAGGUGGGAGAAUGUUUUAAGGUAAAACAAAAAUGCUUCAACAUGUAAGCUUGCACCUUCUUCUUUUUCCACUUUGGUAUAUGUGUAUGUCUCUUGCUCUCAUUCUCAGAGAGUAGUAUGAUUUUGGUAGAAUCAUGUGGAGACAUGAUCCGAGACUGAGUUGAACAAGUUAAAAAAGUGUUAUGUAAAAUAGAUGCCUUUUUAUAAUAAGAUAAGGUAUUAUAGAUGAAGAGAGAUCAGAUUUGUUUAAUUUGCGUUCUAUUCUUCUCAAUUUGAUGACCACAUGAUAAAAUCAUCAUUAGUUUUGUUGUUAAUAUACAAUCGACGUAUUAACAGAGAUCAUCAAAGACAUUAGACAGAACAAUAUCUAUACAAGUUUUAUAAAGAAAAACAAGUCCUACUGUUUUACCAAUAAUCGUUAUUUUUUAUACAGCUGACAGUGACAUUUACCUAAGUAACAACUACUCCAGUACGAGUAUACAAUUUUACAUAACUUAAGUAUGAGGAUUAGACAAGAGGAAUAUUGUUAAUUUGCCAGGUUCUGGUCAAAUGUUGAUCCCAUGCUUAUCGUUAGAACAUAGAUAUUUUUAAAGAAGAACGGUAUUCCAUCCAUGAUUCAUAGUUAUUACGUCUCGUGCUCCUACGUAAGCGUUUCUUGUUUGAACAACGUCAGCCUUUCUUUUCUCUGUGGGUGAUUACAGUUUCACAGAAGUUACCUUUCUGCCAAUAAUUUUACAUUUGUUUUUUCUUUUGGCUUUAGUCUUUCUUUAUAGGACCAAAAAGAGGGAUUGGCAAAGUGAAUAAAUAAAGUAGUCCUGUUCUUCUGUCCAUCCAUGAGUUAUGAUAAUUAUAAUACUUGUAAAACGGAGUUGCAAUAUUACUUCAAACUAUAGUUGAAUACGAUAGAGAGAGGAGGCAACUGAUAUUGUAAGUUAUUUUUAAUGGAACAUUAUUGUAUGCAAAACCCCAAGCUGUUUAGUUUUUUUUUUGGUAAUCAAGCUGUUCAGACUUUGUCGGAAGAAAUUGCUGUGUCCUAAUAUACGACGAGACAGAGUGAAAUUGCUGUUCAUACUUUUCUAUCACAUCCCUCUUCUUCUUUUUUUACCUUUCUAUCGCUUCUGAAAAUGCGAGAAAGAAAAAAGAAAACGUGUUAAUUUAAGGAUUUGUUUCUCUAUUUAUAGUCAUGUUUCUGUUUCGUCACCCUUACAAAACACAAUCUGUGGGCAUAAUUUUGCCAUGCAAUUCACAUUUUUGUAUCCAUAUAUCCAGACAUCUCUUUACAACACUAACUAACAAAACACUAAAUGGAAAAGGACAGGUGUCAGAGAGUGAGAGGAGAUUAGGAGGUUCCACGAAUGUCCUUAAUAUCUAGGCCCUGGAUUUUUCUCCUACGUGAUAUGUGAUGUAACGCAAACGCGUUCUCUAUCUCCUUUUCCUCUUUAGCCCUUCGCGUUACUCUUCUUUUUACUAUUUUGCCAUCUGACCUCCGUACAAGUUCUGAAAGAUAUUUAAAACGACAUGUACACAGUACACAAAAGUCUGCCAGUUGAAUAUUCGUACGUGACAGAGAUUGUGUAUUAUUCUCCAAGGCCAGAGUUACAGGGCCAACGCAAAUCUUGGAAUGGUAAAAAGAAUAAAAAGAACAAUGGAAUUUUUUUUUGUGGGCAAUACUAAUCUAAAUAUAUGCAACAAUACAGCCUAUGCAUACAUUUUUUUUUGGGUAAAACAGCCUAUGCAUACAUAUUUACGAAGAUUUCAUUUUAUGAUAUUUUCCACUUUUCUAACAACAAAUCUGAGAAAUUUAUGAUAGAUUGGAACUUAAGGUAGCUCAAACAGUGUACGAGCUAUUGCUAAUUAGUAGACUCCCAAACUAUUAAAUUCUUUAUAAAAAGUUUACAACUUUCAAAGCCUCCAAAAUUUAGGGAUAAGUUUUUGAAGGACAUUAACACUUAUCCAAUAACAACUCUCCCCUUUAAACAAAUGAAAACGAUAUGAAUUGAAAUACCUAAAAUAUUGUUUUGUUAGAUCAAGAUAAGUGUUAAAUUAUAACUAAAAAAUAUUAUAAAAUUAACAAAUGUUCCACACGAAAUGCAGAAAAAUAAAUUAUCAAAAUAGAUAAUAGAUACAAAUGUAUAAUUGCAAUAUUAAAAAUUUGAAAUACGUAUAAUUGUAAUUUUUGGUAUUACAAUUUAAAGAUAACUUACAAUUUAAAUAAACUAUACAUUUUAAAAUAUUUUUAAAAAAUAUGAUACAUUAUGUACUUUUUUUAGUUACUAACCCGCCCUACGGGCGGGUCAAAUCCUAGUAUUGAAUAAUUUAUGUGUCGAGUUCAUCGUCAAACAAUGUUAUUAAAUUAAACGGUUGACAAAAAUUCAAAAAAAAAAACAUACAAUAACGGUUAAAUCUUUUUUAAGCCCAUUAUGGGCCCAAUAGAGAUAAAAAAAAAGUUAAUUUUAGGUAGAAACAAAGAACCAAAUUUGAAAUUUGAAGAGAGAGAGAGUGUGGUGACACUAGAAGCCAAAUAUUCCCUCUGCUUCUUCCACAAAUUCAAAAAUCACACACACUUACAGAUCGAUCCUCCUUCCCUGCAACUACAACCUUCCUCCUCGAGCCUCCCUACCCAGAAAAAAAUGGCAGCUCGAUACAACUCUUACGAUUCUAGAUCAUCCGUAUCUUCCUCAAUCCAAUCAGAUCCAUCUUCCUCCGCCGAAUUCAAAUCCAGCAAGGCCAUUGUCAGAUCCAAACCUUCCUACUUAACCAAAACAGCUAAACACGAUGCUAAUCCUGGGAACCUCACUUGUAUGAUGAAGAAGCUCAUGGACAUGAAGAAAUCUAAUCCCAAGGGCAAAAGGGUCGAGCUUGUGAUUCCCCAUGAACUCAAGAAGC